This 1549-nucleotide long non-coding RNA is filed under the name Homo sapiens (human). RNAcentral describes it as "non-protein coding LINC00963:46". The record is from RNAcentral. Lineage: Eukaryota; Metazoa; Chordata; Mammalia; Primates; Hominidae.
AGGGGCACAGUAGGCGCCUUAGCCACUGGCAGAAUUUCACCGGCGCUCUGCCCGACGCCCCCAGCCCCAGGGCCGGGCGUGGGUGGAAGUGUCUGGAAGGGUGGGUUCACCAGGGCUGGGCACGUCAGCGGCCCCGUACAGAGAAUCCGGUGCCUGGGGUCUCUGGAGGGGGUACUCAGAGUAUCCGAGGAGGAGACUCCUGGAUGCUAACAGAGCCCCCAGUUAGGAGCAGUCCGCGAGACAGUUGGUAACAGUGCUGGCCUUGCCCGGGCGCCGGAAGGUUCCGUGAGGCCCAGCAAGUCCUGACUUGGCACAGGGCCCAGCACACGGCGCAGUAACAAUAUAAUUACCGUAUGCAGUCCCCCAGGAUACAGGGUCAAAGGAGAGCACAACCAUCGCAGUUGGAAGCCCAUGGGGCAGGGCCCAGGACACAGUGAGCAUACAAUAGACAUUAGCUGCUGUGGUGUCUUGAUUUCAAGCCCAGUGCAGAUGCAUCUGACUUACGAAACUUCAGUGACACCUGCUCUGUGCCAGACACUGAAGAUGGAGCAGUGAACAGCACUGACCCAGCCUGUCCUCCUGUUGCCUGCAGGCCAGAAGCAAGGUCUCGCUGUGUUACCCUGGCUGGAGUGCAGUGGCUACUUACAGGCAUGAUCAUAGCAUACUGCAGCCUCGAACUCCUGGACUAGAGCAGUUCUCCUGCCUCAGCCUCCAGAGCAGCUGGGACUGCAGACACGCACCACAGAGCCCAGCCUGAGUCAUUUUGAUUCUGUAACUGGCUUCCUCUCGGCGGGCAGGCUCACACCCUCCACCCCCAGCUGGAGAUGGAAGGAGGAUGCUCACCGCCCAUUCCUCAUGCAGGCCAUCGAUGGAAAUGUCAGACAGUGCGAGUCCACGCCUGAACACUUCUGGGGUCCGCUCUGGGACUGACACUGGCAGAUCCAUCGGUGAGCUCCCGCCUGCCACCUCUGGGCCUGCAUUGCGGUGAUAGGGCCAAGGGCCUGGGCCUUCAAUUCUCCAGACUUGCCAAAAUGCUCAGCGCAGGCCUCGUCGGCAACUGCAGACAAGCAGAGGCAGCACCUGGGCUCUGCCUGUGCCUGGCACAGUGAAGCGAGGGUGGGGGCAGGAAUGAGGGUCCUCUCCAUGCAAGGGGGGAAGAUAGAAGAACAAAAUUUCACCCUAAUGUAGUGUCUUUAGACCGUGCAAUGUUGUGCUCCUGUUAGUCUGAUAUCAGGGGCUUGCAGCCUGGCAAAGGAAAAAAAACAGGCUGAGGCACAUGAUAGAAGACAGGCAGGGAUGCCACAAUCAUAACCAUGGCAAAGACCAGGAUCAGAAAGGCCCACCAUCUCUGACCCCAAAUCCCUGGGCAGAUGGUUCCAGAACUCAGAAUUUUCCCAGUUGUAGAAAGAUGGGGCCAGGUGCAGUGGCUCACGCCUGUAAUCCCAGCAUUUUGGGAGUACAAGGUGGGCGGAUCACCUGAGGUCAGGAGUUCGAGACCAGCCUGGCCAACAUGGUGAAACCCUGUCUCUACUAAAAAAAAAAAAAAAAA